CGCAGGCGGUCCUUUAAGUCUGAUGUGAAAGCCCACGGCUCAACCGUGGAGGGUCAUUGGAAACUGGAGGACUUGAGUGCAGAAGAGGAAAGCGGAAUUCCACGUGUAGCGGUGAAAUGCGUAGAGAUGUGGAGGAACACCAGUGGCGAAGGCGGCUUUCUGGUCUGUAACUGACGCUGAGGCGCGAAAGCGUGGGGAGCAAACA
Molecule: ribosomal RNA, 205 nt
Filed under: uncultured bacterium
Lineage: Bacteria
Description: partial 16S ribosomal RNA
Rfam family: Bacterial small subunit ribosomal RNA
Source: RNAcentral